CCAGACUCCUACGGGAGGCAGCAGUGGGGAAUAUUGCACAAUGGGGGAAACCCUGAUGCAGCGACGCCGCGUGUGGGAAGACGGUCUUCUGGAUUGUAAACCACUGUCCCCAGGGACGAAAAUGACGGUACCUGGGGAGGAAGCUCCGGCUAACUACGUGCCAGCAGCCGCGGUAAUACGUAGGGAGCAAGCGUUGUCCGGAAUUACUGGGUGUAAAGGGGGCGCAGACGGCAGCGCAAGCCAGGAGUGAAAGCCCGGGGCCGAACCCCGGGACUGCUCUUGGAACUGCGCGGCUAGAGUGCAGGAGGGGCAGGCGGAAUUCCUGGUGUAGCGGUGAAAUGCGUAGAUAUCAGGAGGAACACCGGUGGCGAAGGCGGCCUGCUGGACUGCAACUGACGUUGAGGCCCGAAAGCGUGGGGAGCAAACAGGAUUAGAUACCCCCGUACAC
This 448-nucleotide ribosomal RNA is filed under the name uncultured bacterium. Its description in RNAcentral is "partial 16S ribosomal RNA". It matches the Rfam family "Bacterial small subunit ribosomal RNA", at positions 331 to 795 of the family's 1533-position model. The record is from RNAcentral.